GCCGGAGUGGCGGAACUGGCAGACGCGCGGGACUCAAAAUCCCGUACUCGCAAGGGUGUGUGGGUUCGACCCCCUCCUCCGGCACCA
Molecule: transfer RNA, 87 nt
Filed under: Acidobacteriota bacterium
Lineage: Bacteria; Pseudomonadati; Acidobacteriota
Also listed under: 1 other name
Description: tRNA-Leu
Rfam family: tRNA
About the family: Transfer RNA (tRNA) molecules are approximately 80 nucleotides in length. Their secondary structure includes four short double-helical elements and three loops (D, anti-codon, and T loops). Further hydrogen bonds mediate the characteristic L-shaped molecular structure. tRNAs have two regions of fundamental functional importance: the anti-codon, which is responsible for specific mRNA codon recognition, and the 3' end, to which the tRNAs corresponding amino acid is attached (by aminoacyl-tRNA synthetases). tRNAs cope with the degeneracy of the genetic code in two manners: having more than one tRNA (with a specific anti-codon) for a particular amino acid; and 'wobble' base-pairing, i.e. permitting non-standard base-pairing at the 3rd anti-codon position.
Source: RNAcentral